Molecule: long non-coding RNA, 388 nt
Organism: Pelobates fuscus (common spadefoot toad)
Lineage: Eukaryota; Metazoa; Chordata; Amphibia; Anura; Pelobatidae
Exons: 3
Source: RefSeq, a predicted model, not a curated record
CUUGCAAUCACUAGGUCUAUAAAUUACACCUCUCUGGGCUGGAAGGGGUAUCUGUGUUGAGAACCUGUUAGAGCGAUAGAUUAGUACAAGAUUCCACAAUGAAAUACUCGGCUAAACCAGUGAAGACAAAUGAGCCAACAAAGGUUAGAAGACAGAGUCUGAUUGAACUAAGAAAAAGUAAAAUCCAGGCGUUUCGACUGUUUCUUCACACUCUAAGGAUGAGACGGUCAUCUCAAAGGUCGUUCAUCUGAGCAAUAUGAUCCGUUGUGACAUCCCUGAUGGUAAAAUGAGAAGAUUCCUGGAAAUUCGAGCCCCUUUAGUCUAUUAAGACCAUGCACUUCAAUUAAAACAGAUUUUCUUUUUAUUUAAAUAAAUGUUUAGAAUUUUA